Trichomonas vaginalis G3 is the source of this 73-nucleotide non-coding RNA. Lineage: Eukaryota; Parabasalia; Trichomonadida; Trichomonadidae. The record is from Rfam.
GCUUUCGUAGCUCAGUAGGUAGAGCGUAGGUCUCAUAAUCCUAAGGUCGCGAGUUCGAGCCUCACCGAAAGCA